This 252-nucleotide ribosomal RNA is filed under the name uncultured bacterium. RNAcentral's name for it is "partial 16S ribosomal RNA". It matches the Rfam family "Bacterial small subunit ribosomal RNA", at positions 524 to 776 of the family's 1533-position model. The record is from RNAcentral.
UACGGAGGAUGCGAGCGUUAUCCGGAUUUAUUGGGUUUAAAGGGUGCGUAGGCGGAUCGUUAAGUCAGUGGUCAAAUUGAGGGGCUCAACCCCUUCCCGCCAUUGAAACUGGCGAUCUUGAGUGGUAGAGAAGUAUGCGGAAUGCGUGGUGUAGCGGUGAAAUGCAUAGAUAUCACGCAGAACCCCGAUUGCGAAGGCAGCAUGCCGGCUUCCGACUGACGCUGAAGCACGAAAGCGUGGGGAUCGAACAGG